CAAAGAUUAAGCCAUGCAUGUCUCAGUACAAGCCAAAUUAAGGUGAAACCGCGAAAGGCUCAUUAAAUCAGUUAUGGUUCCUUAGAUCGUACCCACAUUUACUUGGAUAACUGUGGUAAUUCUAGAGCUAAUACAUGCAAACAGAGCUCCGACCGGAGACGGAAGGAGCGCUUUUAUUAGAUCAAAACCAAUCGGUGGCGGGUCUCCCGUCACCGUACACCUUGGUGACUCUGAAUAACUUAUUGCUGAUCGCACGGUCUCGCACCGGCGACGCAUCUUUCAAAUGUCUGCCUUAUCAACUGUCGAUGGUAGGUUCUGCGCCUACCAUGGUUGUAACGGGUAACGGGGAAUCAGGGUUCGAUUCCGGAGAGGGAGCCUGAGAAACGGCUACCACAUCCAAGGAAGGCAGCAGGCGCGCAAAUUACCCACUCCCGGCACGGGGAGGUAGUGACGAAAAAUAACGAUACGGGACUCAUCCGAGGCCCCGUAAUCGGAAUGAGUACACUCUAAACCCUUUAACGAGGAUCAAUUGGAGGGCAAGUCUGGUGCCAGCAGCCGCGGUAAUUCCAGCUCCAAUAGCGUAUAUUAAAGUUGUUGCGGUUAAAAAGCUCGUAGUCGAAUUUGUGUCCCGCGCCGCCGGUUCAUCGCUCGCGGUGUCAACUGGCGUGUCCGCGGGACGUCCUGCCGGUGGGCUUAGCUCCUCGCGGGGCGGCCCAAUCUCAAUCCCACCGCGGUGCUCUUCAUUGAGUGUCGAGGUGGGCCGGCACGUUUACUUUGAACAAAUUAGAGUGCUUAAAGCAGGCUAAAACAUCGCCUGAAUACUGUGUGCAUGGAAUAAUGGAAUAGGACCUCGGUUCUAUUUUGUUGGUUUUCGGAACCCCGAGGUAAUGAUUAAUAGGAACGGAUGGGGGCAUUCGUAUUGCGACGUUAGAG
RNAcentral lists this ribosomal RNA (933 nucleotides) under Lepanus vestitus. Its description in RNAcentral is "SSU rRNA". It matches the Rfam family "Eukaryotic small subunit ribosomal RNA", at positions 38 to 910 of the family's 1831-position model. The record is from RNAcentral. Lineage: Eukaryota; Metazoa; Arthropoda; Insecta; Coleoptera; Scarabaeidae.